RNAcentral lists this unclassified non-coding RNA (237 nucleotides) under plant metagenome. Its description in RNAcentral is "partial contains small subunit ribosomal RNA, internal transcribed spacer 1, and 5.8S ribosomal RNA". The record is from RNAcentral.
UUUCCGUAGGUGAACCUGCGGAAGGAUCAUUGCUGAAUCAGGGCCCCUCGGGGAUCCAACCUCCCACCCGUGUUUAACGCACCUUGUUGCUUCGUCGGCCCCCCCUCACGGCCGCCGGUGGGCAUCUGCCCCCCGGCCCGCUCCCGCCGUGGCCGCCUGUGAACGCUGUCUGACAUAUGCAGUCUCAGACAAUUAUUUAAUUAAUUAAAACUUUCAACAACGGAUCUCUUGGUUCCG